This 1082-nucleotide long non-coding RNA is filed under the name Ursus maritimus (polar bear). RNAcentral describes it as "lncRNA (ENSUMAG00000017306.1)". Lineage: Eukaryota; Metazoa; Chordata; Mammalia; Carnivora; Ursidae. The record is from RNAcentral.
CUGAUUGUUUUGGGGGGCAGUGCAGCAUGAGGGUGGACAGGCAGGCUGGGGGCAGAGUGCGUGGGGCCCUGCAGGUGCCACUGCUUCUCAGAGAGGCUGAACCCCCUCUGAGUAACCCCCAUCCUGUAGACUCCCUGACCGGGCAUGAAUGAAGCCUGCACCCCCGAGGGCUCGCUGUAGCAUAGCAGGUGCAUCCAAACAUGCCACUCAGGCAGAGGCGUGCGCUGUGUGGCCAGUUCUUUUUAUUUGAUUUUAUUCUUUUUUAAGAUUUUAUUUAUUUAUUUUGAAGAGAGAGAGAGAGAGCAAGCACGUGAGCAGGGGGAGGAGCAGAGGGAGAGAAGAGAGAGAGUCUCAAGCAGACUCCAGGCUGAGUGCGGAGCCUGAUGCGGGGCUCAAUCCCGCAACCCUGAGAUCAUGACCUGAGCCGAAACCGAGCGUCAGACACUUACCCAACUGAGCUGCCCAUGCACCUCAACACCUCCCCUCCCCAAUUCUCCUUUUGACUCUGCUACUUUUAAAGGAAAACUCUCUGGUAUAAAGUUUGCUCUUGAGGGGCGCCUGGGUGGCUCAGUGGUUAAGCGUCUGCCUUCGGCUCUGGUCAUGAUCCCAGGGUCCUGGGAUCAAGCCCUCUCCCACUCCCCCUGCUGGUGUUCCCUCUCUUGCUGUGUCUCUCUCUGUCAAAUAAAUAAAAUCUUUAAAAAAAAAAAAAAAAGAGUUUGCUCUUGGGAUGCCCUGAGGUUGCCAAUACAGUUUUCUGGCUGAGCUUUCUUUCCUUUUAUUUCCAUCUAGCACCCAGCCUAGCUCCAGGAAUUUGGUUGCUUGCUGGUCCAGAACAGUGGAUGGGACAUUUUGGAGACAAGUGUUUCCCCACUGGCAUGGUGCUCAAGGCCUGGGAAAGUGCAGUCUCUGUUGGCCAGCCAAAAUGGACGAUAGUGGCACCCAAGGACACCAGAAUGGCCGGGAAGGUUGGCCUCAGCUCAUGAAAUCCAGUUUCCAGCAGCCCCCUGGACACCAGCUCAGCUCCCCGCUGAGCUCUCCAUGGAGGAGGCACCACCAAGGGCUUCGCUGGAGGAGGUAAGCAG